GCCAGGCAUGGUGGCUCAUGCCUGUAAUCCCAGCACUUUGGGAGGCUGAGGUGGGCGGAUCGCCUGAGGUCAGGAGUUCCAGACCAGCCUGACCAACAUGGUGAAACCCUGUCUCUA
Unclassified non-coding RNA from Pongo abelii (Sumatran orangutan), 117 nucleotides. It matches the Rfam family "Metazoan signal recognition particle RNA". From Rfam's summary of the family: The signal recognition particle (SRP) is a universally conserved ribonucleoprotein. It is involved in the co-translational targeting of proteins to membranes. The eukaryotic SRP consists of a 300-nucleotide 7S RNA and six proteins: SRPs 72, 68, 54, 19, 14, and 9. NCBI's taxonomy places the organism in Eukaryota, Metazoa, Chordata, Mammalia, Primates, Hominidae. The record is from Ensembl.